GUUAGGAAUAUUGGACAAUGGGCGCAAGCCUGAUCCAGCCAUGCCGCGUGAGUGAUGAAGGCCUUCGGGUUGUAAAGCUCUUUAGCCGAUGAUUAUAAUGACUGUAGUCGGAAAAUAAGCCCCGGCUAACUUCGUGCCAGCAGCCGCGGUAAUACGAAGGGGGCGAGCGUUAUUCGGAAUCACUGGGCGUAAAGCGUGCGUAGGCGGCUUUACAAGUUGGGAGUGAAAGCCCAGGGCUCAACCCUGGAAUUGCUCUCAAAACUGCAAGGCUCGAAUUCGGGAGAGGAUAGCGGAAUUGUCAGUGUAGCAGUGAAAUGCGUAGAUAUUGACAGGAACACCAGUGGCGUAAGCGGCUAUCUGGACCGAUAUUGACGCUGAGGCACGAAAGCGUGGGGAUCAAACAGGAUUAGAUACCCUGGUAGUCC
RNAcentral lists this ribosomal RNA (425 nucleotides) under uncultured bacterium. RNAcentral describes it as "partial 16S ribosomal RNA". It matches the Rfam family "Bacterial small subunit ribosomal RNA", at positions 354 to 796 of the family's 1533-position model. The record is from RNAcentral.